Molecule: long non-coding RNA, 2958 nt
Organism: Frieseomelitta varia
Lineage: Eukaryota; Metazoa; Arthropoda; Insecta; Hymenoptera; Apidae
Exons: 3
Source: RefSeq, a predicted model, not a curated record
UUAAAAUUAAAUUAUAUAUAUUAUAUCAAAUAAAAUUGGUUUUUUCUUAUUUAAAAAGAAUAGGUGACAAGAAACUUUUGGCCCACCCUAUAUGUUCUUCGUAACUGUAGGUAUUGUAGAUAUUAUCAAUGAUCGACAGAGGAGCCAUUCUACUUGAAAGAACAAGUCGGACGAAUCGAGAAUCCGGAAUGAAAAAUCAUCUUUUUCGAUCAAUUUUAAUUAAGUAAACAACCAGCUGGAAUUUUACAUACCAAAAUGCGUCAAAAAUAGAAUAUUUUCAACUGAAGAUCUCGUUCACGGAAAUGUAAAAACUUUCAACACUUUUGAUUAAAGUAGGUGAACAUUUGAAACUUGUGAAUUUAACCUAUACGAAAAGAUUUGAUUCUCAUUCUCGCACUCUACUAUCGAUUAUUCACUUCUUAACUAAUGUAAGUUCAACUAUACUUGACAAGGUAUCAAAGAAAGAUAUAAAAAAAUAUCUUCAAUGUUACCUUGUCCAUUCAUUAAAACAUAUCUUAUGGCGUGUACGUGUUACUCUAAAUUAUAUUUACAUUUUUUCUCAUUCAAUUGAAUUGAGAUUAAUUUAUAACAUACAGUUUUAUUUGCAGACGAGAAUAAGAGAGAUUUGAUGCUUGUUUAGGCUUGUGACGAGGACCAGGUCGACCAUCACGCCAUUGUUACGUCCGCAAGCGACACCGGGGAUUAUACAACGCCCGGGGUAACGCCCGAUUGAAAUUUAUUAGCUACAACUUCCUCUAAUAAAAGCAAGAUAAAUUGAUCGCAAGAUGUGUUUUCGAGCAACGUUCCUUAUUAUCGUCGUAACGAUGGCGAAGCGUGCAUACGCUCGAAAGCAUUAACUAGCCGCUUAACGAUUGCGAAAAUACAUUCCUUCGUCAGCGUUCGUAUAAUCGACCUCGGUUUUGCAAAUGCGUAUACAUUCCGCGAAUUCGUCCGGCAUCACCUUCAGCGAGGAACUUCGCUGUCGAUUAUUUCGACAGAGAAACGAAACUUAAAACGAACCAAAGCGACUUCUUUUAAAUACACUUCGAGGCUCUCGUUCAUAGUAGUUCUUUUAUACGCAAAUUAGUAAGGAUCAUCUCAACGCAUCGCAAACUGGCGAAGACCGAAUUGAUCAGCAUUGAAAGCAGAAACGCGAGGGUGGCGGAUCUUCACGACCCUGGCGCCACUUGCACGGCAGUCCAACGGGUUUAACGGUUUUUCUGAAGAUCCUGGUAUAAUCGAGUCUUCAACCUUUGUUAGCAAACCUCUUGGAUUUUUAAUUCGAAGAACGCCAUUGAAUCGUGCGACACGUUUGGAUCAAUGAGCGUGUAGAGACGCGUCUUCUAGGAUACUCGGAACUGUCGGUUUCGAAGCUGACGAAAAACAGAAACAAAUGACUUGUUUGGAAGAAGGUUUAGUUACAACUCACGAUAAUGGCAAAUGCAACAUUUACAAUGAUAUACACGCUGGGUAUGAAGAAAAACGAAAUUAAGCAAGAAGAAAGAAGUACAAAGUACACAAAUAACGCCACGAAUAAAUUACGGUACGGUCAAUUCCAAGCAAAUAUAAAUACGCAAUGUGUGAUAACACUGAGAAACAUUCUUGUCGCUAAUGUGAUAAAUAUUGUCUUCUCCUUGGUUAUACCUAAGGUCAUAAAGAAAAAUCCAGUUGUACUAACAUCAUUAUCCAUUACAGUUAUUCUUACUAAUUACAAAAUCUUAGAAAAUUUUACAAAAAUAUAUUUUUGUAGGAACGGCAAAUUAUUCUUAAAUAAAUGGUAAAUCCAUGACAAAUAUAGUUGAAUGGACAACUACUUCAUUCCCAACUAUUUUGUAUGUGCAACGAGAAUAGCAGAUAUGAGACCCUCGAUGACACAUGCUUUAACCAUGGCACAGCGGUUAAAGGUAAAACUGUACUACGUCUUAGUAGUUUUCACGUUUCCAAGUCGUAGUUGAUCAGAAGACAAAGCCGUUUUAGAUAGAGAGAACUUACCCUUUAUCAACAGAAAAACAAUUUUGUUUCUAUAAUAUAAGUUAUGACCCUUCAACGACCGUACAAAAUUAAGAGAGAACAUUUCCAGAAUAACGGAACUAAAAUUUAUUUUGGAAACGGAAGAAGUCUUUCAACGCUGAAUAAUUGCAAUCUGGCAGUUUUGCAAAAAGAGUACAACACCAACGAGCGGUAAAUUAAAAUCAUCAGUCCGUUCUGCAUUUAACGUGAUACGCAUGCGCUCAAGGAGCCGUAGAACGAAACAGAAAAAGACAAAUAGGACGCACAUGACGAACGGGCUUCCCAUGCGCACGUGUCGUAUUUACACCGACGGGCAAGACGGGAGAGCGCACACAUUGAAUACGCAGCGAAGAACCAACGUGUGCUACCUGCGCCUGAAACUGGCCUCUUGGCAGCGUAAAAAAACAAGUAGCAAUGGACAUUCGUUUCCCCUCAAUGCAACUCUCGAAAAGAACGCGAGACUCCUGUUGAAAGUGCUCAAUUUUUUCACACAAGAUUACAUAACUACAUUUGAUACUGCUGCUCUCCUCUCUUCAUGUAUCUUCUUCUUUUGUUCACAAAAAGGAAUACACAAAAGGUGAAUACUAAAUUCAAAUAUUCAGAAGAUAUCUACAUUUUAAUAUUUACUAAAAUAGAUCGAAAUUAGAAAAGGAACAGGCUUAAGAUUUUCAGAAAGUUACGUUUUAGGAAAUAACCAAUGACUAAACUUUCAAAUAUCAUAAAACGCUCACUGAGGAGUUUUGUCUGGCUUGUCUGAAGACUUUGUCUAAAGUCGAAGAUGCAACCGAAGAUAAAGUUCAAUGAUAAUCGCUCUGUAAGAUCAGGGUGUAAAAUGGAAAAAAGAAAAGAAAUAUGGAAGAGAAGAUGAACAAGUAGAAAAGGAGAAAAAUCCAGUGAUGUGUUGCGUACCGGCGCACGGGAAUAGCCAGCCCUAUCUCGUCUUUUCUU